Non-coding RNA from Xyrichtys novacula (pearly razorfish), 690 nucleotides. NCBI's taxonomy places the organism in Eukaryota, Metazoa, Chordata, Actinopteri, Labriformes, Labridae. The record is from the annotation of a GenBank genome assembly.
CAUAUCCUCAUUUCUGAAUAAAUCAGUCGACCGGGUCCACUCAGAAUACACCUGAAUUACUGUUCGGUUUCAGGACUAAUUGAUAUUUUCGUUAUUGCAGGUCAUAUAUGGCGUCCAGGAUGCAGCACGACAACCUGGCACUAUCGGGGACUGUGGAUCUGGUCAUUUAGUGCCGCGGUCCGACAAUCGUCCUUCACUGAGAAGUAAACAAGCUCAGAUGAGAAACGACAUUGACAGUUUAACGGUAUUUUGCUGUUUUCUCACCUUAACUCAUGUUUUCAGCCACAGAUAAAAAAAAGAACUGAUGAUGUUGUGUCUGUUUCCUAGCAACAGCAUCAUGGAGAACGUCACACGGAACUUCAGCCGUUGCCUUGACAGGUCUUGUUAUGAUAUGACUUAAAUUUAUACUUUGACGUUCUUUUAAUCAUAUCUAAGGCUCGACAUGGACUCACCCCUGACUUUAUUUCUGAGUUUUUUAUCCCUCUAGGAGCCGGGACGUGGUCUGAGAUCCUCUAACAGUGCUCUGCUGGGCUGGCUGUUCCAAGGUCCACAUCAAAAUCUACAUGUGAAAGGACGUUUGCUGUCAGAGGAGAUCAGACUUGCAAAGUGAGUCCCUUCUUUUAUUUCCCUGCUUAAGACAAAUUUUACAGAAAACCUUUUAUCCUGUGAUUUUAUCUCUUUCCCUCUCCU